This 494-nucleotide ribosomal RNA is filed under the name uncultured bacterium. Its description in RNAcentral is "partial 16S ribosomal RNA". It matches the Rfam family "Bacterial small subunit ribosomal RNA", at positions 28 to 507 of the family's 1533-position model. The record is from RNAcentral.
GACGAACGCUGGCGGCGUGCUUAACACAUGCAAGUCGAACGGUGAAGCGCCUUCCUUUUUGGUGGGUGUGGAUGAGUGGCGAACGGGUGAGUAACACGUGAGUAACCUGCCCCCUUCUUCUGGAUAACCGCAUGAAAGUGUGGCUAAUACGGGAUAUUCUGGGUCUGUCGCAUGAUGGGUCUGGGAUAGAUAUUGUUUCGGUGGGGGAUGGGCUCGCGGCCUAUCAGCUUGUUGGUGGGGUGAUGGCCUACCAAGGCGGUGACGGGUAGCCGGCCUGCGAGGGUGGACGGUCACACUGGGACUGAGACACGGCACAGACUCCUACGGGAGGCAGCAGUGGGGAAUAUUGAACAAUGGGAGCAAGCCUGAUGCAGCGACGCCGCGUGAGGGAUGGAGGCCUUCGGGUUGUGAACCUCUUUCGCAUGUGAAGCAGGCCUGCCUCGUUUGUGGGUGGGUUGACGGUAGCUGGAUAAGAAGCGCCGGCUAACUACGUG